Molecule: transfer RNA, 73 nt
Filed under: Spirochaetota bacterium
Lineage: Bacteria; Pseudomonadati; Spirochaetota
Description: Spirochaetes bacterium (activated sludge metagenome) tRNA-Asn
Rfam family: tRNA
About the family: Transfer RNA (tRNA) molecules are approximately 80 nucleotides in length. Their secondary structure includes four short double-helical elements and three loops (D, anti-codon, and T loops).
Source: RNAcentral
UCCUCGAUAGCUCAGUUGGUAGAGCAGGUGACUGUUAAUCACCUGGUCGCAGGUUCGAGUCCUGCUCGGGGAG